Molecule: ribosomal RNA, 429 nt
Filed under: uncultured bacterium
Lineage: Bacteria
Description: partial 16S ribosomal RNA
Rfam family: Bacterial small subunit ribosomal RNA
Source: RNAcentral
CCUACGGGAGGCAGCAGUGGGGAAUAUUGGACAAUGGGCGAAACCUGAUCCAGCCAUGCCGCGUGUGUGAAGAGGUCUUCGGAUUGUAAGCACUUUAAGUUGGGAGGCGUUACCGACAGAAUAAGCACCGGCUAACUCUGUGCCAGCAGCCGCGGUAAUACAGAGGGUGCAAGCGUUAAUCGGAAUGACUGGGCGUAAAGCGCGCGUAGGUGGUUUGUUAAGUUGAAUGUGAAAUCCCCGGGCUCAACCUGGGAACUGCAUCCAAAACUGGCAAGCUAGAGUAUGGUAGAGGGUGGUGGAAUUUCCUGUGUAGCGGUGAAAUGCGUAGAUAUAGGAAGGAACACCAGUGGCGAAGGCGACCACCUGGACUGAACUGACACUGAGGUGCGAAAGCGUGGGGAGCAAACAGGAUUAGAUACCCUUGUAGUC